ACGGGUGAGUAACGCGUGGGAAUCUACCCAUCCUUACGGAACAACUCCGGGAAACUGGAGCUAAUACCGUAUACGCCCUUCGGGGGAAAGAUUUAUCGAGGAUGGAUGAGCCCGCGUUGGAUUAGCUAGUUGGUGGGGUAAAGGCCUACCAAGGCGACGAUCCAUAGCUGGUCUGAGAGGAUGAUCAGCCACAUUGGGACUGAGACACGGCCCAAACUCCUACGGGAGGCAGCAGUGGGGAAUAUUGGACAAUGGGCGCAAGCCUGAUCCAGCCAUGCCGCGUGAGUGAUGAAGGCCCUAGGGUUGUAAAGCUCUUUCACCGGAGAAGAUAAUGACGGUAUCCGGAGAAGAAGCCCCGGCUAACUUCGUGCCAGCAGCCGCGGUAAUACGAAGGGGGCUAGCGUUGUUCGGAUUUACUGGGCGUAAAGCGCACGUAGGCGGAUCGAUCAGUCAGGGGUGAAAUCCCAGAGCUCAACUCUGGAACUGCCUUUGAUACUGUCGAUCUGGAGUAUGGAAGAGGUGAGUGGAAUUCCGAGUGUAGAGGUGAAAUUCGUAGA
RNAcentral lists this ribosomal RNA (557 nucleotides) under uncultured bacterium. RNAcentral describes it as "bacterial SSU rRNA". It matches the Rfam family "Bacterial small subunit ribosomal RNA", at positions 102 to 694 of the family's 1533-position model. The record is from RNAcentral. RNAcentral also lists the same sequence under 1 other name.